This 173-nucleotide small RNA is filed under the name Streptomyces sp. Its description in RNAcentral is "c-di-AMP sequence". It matches the Rfam family "c-di-AMP riboswitch aptamer (ydaO/yuaA leader)". From Rfam's summary of the family: This family represents a conserved RNA structure found upstream of the ydaO and yuaA genes in Bacillus subtilis and related genes in other bacteria. The record is from RNAcentral. Lineage: Bacteria; Bacillati; Actinomycetota; Actinomycetes; Kitasatosporales; Streptomycetaceae. RNAcentral also lists the same sequence under 1 other name.
UCGCGUCAUGCGCCGAAGGCAGGAGCGGGGGACCCACGGUUUGUGCCGGCCCCGGCCGUCGAGAGACGGCCGACGACCGGCUCGGGGUGAAGCCGGAUGCGCGAGCGUCCGGCCGGGCAACUCACUUGGCCCGAACCCGACAGCUCACCUCGUAGGCGUCGGUGAGGAGAGUU